GACGUAGGGUCCAAGCGUUAUCCGGAAUUACUGGGCGUAAAGGGUUCGUAGGUGGAUUGGUAAGUGGCGGGUUAAAUCCCAGGGCUCAACCCUGGAAAGGCUUGUCAUACUGCCAAUCUUGAGUUUGUUCGGGGAGGUUGGAAUUCUCGGUGGAGGGGUGAAAUCCGUUGAUAUCGAGAGGAACGCCAAGGGUGAAGACAGACCUCUAGGGCAAUACUGACACUGAGGGACGAAAGCUAGGGUAGCAAACGGG
This 253-nucleotide unclassified non-coding RNA is filed under the name uncultured Patescibacteria group bacterium. Its description in RNAcentral is "contains 16S-23S intergenic spacer region". It matches the Rfam family "Bacterial small subunit ribosomal RNA", at positions 524 to 776 of the family's 1533-position model. The record is from RNAcentral.